RNAcentral lists this unclassified non-coding RNA (174 nucleotides) under uncultured Trichocomaceae. Its description in RNAcentral is "sequence contains ITS1". The record is from RNAcentral. Lineage: Eukaryota; Fungi; Ascomycota; Eurotiomycetes; Eurotiales; Trichocomaceae.
CCGAGUGCGGGCCCUCUGGGUCCAACCUCCCACCCGUGUUUACCGUACCCUGUUGCUUCGGCAGGCCCGCCACUGCGGCCGCCGGGGGGGCCUCUGCCCCCGGGCCUGCGCCUGCCGAAGACCCCUUGAACCCUGCCUGAAGAAUGCCGUCUGAGUGGGUAGCGAAUUUAGUUA